Molecule: ribosomal RNA, 468 nt
Filed under: uncultured bacterium
Lineage: Bacteria
Description: partial 16S ribosomal RNA
Rfam family: Bacterial small subunit ribosomal RNA
Source: RNAcentral
GACGAACGCUGGCGGCGUGCUUAACACAUGCAAGUCGAACGGAAAGGCCCUGCUUUUGUGGGGUGCUCGAGUGGCGAACGGGUGAGUAACACGUGAGUAACCUGCCCUUGACUUUGUGAUAACUUCAGGAAACUGGGGCUAAUACCGGAUAGGAGCUCCUGCUGCAUGGUGGGGGUUGGAAAGUUUCGGCGGUUGGGGAUGGACUCGCGGCUUAUCAGCUUGUUGGUGGGGUAGUGGCUUACCAAGGCUUUGACGGGUAGCCGGCCUGAGAGGGUGACCGGCCACAAUGGGACUGAGAUACGGCCCAGACUCCUACGGGAGGCAGCAGUGGGGAAUAUUGCACAAUGGGCGGAAGCCUGAUGCAGCAACGCCGCGUGCGGGAUGACGGCCUUCGGGUUGUAAACCGCUUUCGCCUGUGACGAAGCGUGAGUGACGGUAAUGGGUAAAGAAGCACCGGCUAACUACGUG